This 1097-nucleotide long non-coding RNA is filed under the name Homo sapiens (human). RNAcentral describes it as "HSALNT0006266". Lineage: Eukaryota; Metazoa; Chordata; Mammalia; Primates; Hominidae. The record is from RNAcentral.
GUCUUUUUUUCUUUUUUUUGAGUCAGGGUCUUGCUCCGUAGCCCAGAAUGGUGUGCAGUGACAUGAUCACAGCUCACUGCAGCCUCAACCUCCUGGGCUCAAGUGAUCCUCCCACUUCAGCCUCCUGAGUAGCUAGGACUACAGGCAUGUGCCACCACUCCUAGCUAAUUUUUUAUUAUUUGCAGAGACAGGGUCUCACCAUGUUGCCCAGGCUGAUCUCGAACUCCCAGACUCAAGAAAUCCUCCUGCCUUGGCCUCCCAAAGUGCUGGGAUUACAGACAUGAGCCACUGCACCCAGCCUAGAAGUAUAUUGUUUAACUACCAAAUAUUUGAGACUUUUCUAGAAAGCCUAUUCUUACUGAUUUCUCAUGUAAUUCAGAGAACAUAUUCUGUAAGAUUUUUAAAAAUUUAUUGAGACGUGUUUUAUAGCCCAGAAUGUGGCCCAUCUGGGGAAUGUUGCAUACCCUCUUGAAAAGAACAUCAAUUCUUCGGUUGUUGGGUAUUCUAUGAAACAAACAGAAAACAAGUAGCAAAUGGAGCCUUAAAUUUAAACAUAUCAAUAAUUACACUAAAUGUGACACUGACUCCUCUGCCUCCCUCUUCCAUUGAUGAGGACCCUUGUGAUUACAGUGGGCCCAUCCAGAUAACCCAGGAUAAUCUCCCCAUCAAAAAGUCAGACAAUUGGCUGGGUGUGGUGGCUCAUGCCUGUAAUCCCAGCACUUUAGGAAGCCAAGGCAGGUGGAUCACCUGAGGUCAGGAGUUCGAGACCAGCCUGGCCAACAUGAUGAAACCCUGUCUCUACUAAAAAUACAAAAAUUAGCUGGGCAUGGUGGCAUGUGCCUGUAAGUCCAGCUACUAGCGGGGCUAAGGCAGGAGGAUCGCUUGAACCUGGGAGGCAGAGGUUGCAGUGAGCCGAGAUUGUACCACUGCACUCCAGCCUGGGCAACAGAGUGAGAUUCCAUCUCAAAAAAAUAAAAUAAAAUAAAAUAAAAUGAAAGUCAGACAAUUAGGGAGCCUGUCUGGCCAUGGUGGCCGCGGCUGGUGGUUGGCGCGGCUGCGCUGCGGCCCGGGGCAGUGCGGAGCCAGGACAGUCGCGG